This 1348-nucleotide long non-coding RNA is filed under the name Homo sapiens (human). Its description in RNAcentral is "ZNF582 divergent transcript, transcript variant 3 (ZNF582-DT)". The record is from RNAcentral. Lineage: Eukaryota; Metazoa; Chordata; Mammalia; Primates; Hominidae.
GGUGAGCCGGACGCAGGCGUGCCUGCGCAGUGCGCGGAGGAGUGCUGUUCGUGUGUUCGAGUCCCUGGGUUGCUUCCUGGGGUCUGUGGUGCUGGGUGUGCUAUCUGCGUGUGAUUCUCUAGCGAGAGAUUGUGGGCGAGUGACCGAGUGGGCAAGGGGCCGUCACUGUGUGUGCGUGAUUUUGACAGUGUGUGGUGGUAGCUUCUGACUCCGCGUGGGUCGUUGAAUGUAUGACUGGGACCGUUUAGCGGUGGAUACACAACUGUGUGCGGCUGUGGAAGAUUGCCUCAUCCGUUACGUUCCCAUUUCCGUGGAACAACAGUUUUACCAGAAGGUUUCGAAGGAACCUUAAAGUUUGGAAGCGUAAGAGUUUAUCUGGUAACUAAUUUUAAACAUUACAUCUAUGGUGAGUUAAAUGUGGGUUAUGAAGGAGAACGCAAAAUAAAAACGUUAUAAAGAUGUAAAGGAGUUUUAUGGGGCGGCAUCUCUUGGGCAAAUAUCAGACCGCCGUAGGUAGUUGUUAAUUCUCUCUUGUUUUUAGGCGGCUUUGGUGUCAUCAAAUGUGAGAAGCCCUGGACUUUACACAUCCCGAGCCAGUGUGAUCCAGUAUGAUUGGGAGUCCGAGUGCCAGAUGCCGGUCAGGACCUGUUAUGCUGGGUCUCAGAAUGCGGAAACUCUCCCUGUCCGAGGUGGAACAGUUUGUCCUUGAGUGAGGACUGGAGUCCUGAGUGACUCUUUUGAUUUGAUCCUGUUUCCCUCAAACCUGAGAUGGGAGCCUCACUGUAUUGCCCAGGCUGGUCUUGAACUCCGGAGCUCAAGUGAUCGUCUUGCUUCAGCCUUGCAAAAUGAUGGUGAAGCUGCAUCAUUGUCUGGGGUAAAUACCUGAGGUUCGUUGUCUCACGCCAAGGGAAUCAAGGACGUGGACACACAAGAAAUGGAGUCCCUGUCUGACCGGGCCAUGUUGUAUGUUCCUUGCUGUACACGUGGUUGACAAAGAAAAGGGAAGAUGGAGCUGCGAUGUUGGACAUGCCUGGCCCCCAGGACAUACAGCCCUGCCGAGCAAAUAAUGAACGUAACUCACAAACUUCCUGCUUAUCAUCAAACGCACGCAUCCACUUAUCAUCAAACACCUCGGGUGACAGAAGAAUGCAGGUCAGCUCCCUGCUGCCUUGGCAUUAUCAAUCAGCCCAGGAACCAUCCUAUAAAAUCUCCAGCAAGCCUUUGUUUCCUUGCAGUCAGCUCCUCUUCCACUGAUUCUGCCUGUUGCUCCCUGAUAACAUACUUUGAUACUGUCUUUAAUAAAUCUGCCUUUCUUCACAAAAAAAAAAAAAAAAAAAAAAAAAAAAAA